GGUAAAUUCUGCCCUAUGAAUUUUUAAAUGGCUGCAGUAUUUUGACUGUGCAAAGGUAGCAUAGUAAUUAGUUUCUUAAUUAGAAGCUGGAAUGAAUGGAUUAAUGAGAUAAAUAUUUUAUUAAUUUUAUUUUUAUAAAUUAAAUUUUGAGUAAAAAUGCUUAAUUGAUUUCUAGGGACGAUAAGACCCUAUAGAACUUUAUACUAUAAUUGUUAAUUUACUUUUUUUAUACUAAAUUAAUUAUUUUAAUAAUUUACUGGGGUGGUGAAUAAAUUUUAACUUUAUUAUUAAAUUUCAAUAAUAAGUGUAAUUGCUUGAUCCUAAUGGAAAGAAGAUUAAGUUACCUUAGGGAUAACAGCGUAAUUUAAGUGGGGAGUUCUUAUCUAUACUUUAUUUUGCGACCUCGAUGUUGAAUUAAGGAAAGAUUGGGAAGCAGAAUUCUCAGGUCUAAGUCUGUUCGACUU
Molecule: ribosomal RNA, 464 nt
Filed under: Nephotettix malayanus
Lineage: Eukaryota; Metazoa; Arthropoda; Insecta; Hemiptera; Cicadellidae
Description: partial large subunit ribosomal RNA
Rfam family: Bacterial large subunit ribosomal RNA
Source: RNAcentral